UUAAGGGAAAAGUGGGUAAGGCUGGAGUAACUGUGCUCUGGCUUUUUCUCACUGCUGUAAUGUUCCAACAGAGGCCAUGGCAAGCAGCUGGAAGUUAGAAUAAUCCUGGCUGUGCCAGAGCUUGCACCAGAGAGGAAAAUGGACUUAGGUUUACAUUUCGUUUUUCAUCUCCUGCUAUGUGCAAGGAUUGUUUUUUAUGGCGUUUAUCUGCGUUUUCCUUAGAAACCUCAGGAGGACUGUCCACCCUUCAAAAUCUGUUAGGAUGUAUUUUAACUGCGUGAUAUCGGAGCCCAGCCGCUCUUGGUGGGUUGCAGAAAGAGGACAUAUAAUCACAAUACAUCUUCAGAGGCUGCAAGUUGGCCCCCUGUCACAGUGAUGUGCAUAGGUGAAAACAGUUGUGCUCUGGGUAAGUAUGCACAGCCGAGUUUUCUUUGGCAAAUUCAGUCCUAUGUCUACAUAAAUGCAAAGGAGUAGGGGCCCUAAAGACACGCAAAACACACUGGGCUCUCAGAGACUGACCCGCAAAUUAUAAAGAACAGUUCUUUAAGUGACAAGUUAAUUUCAGGCAGUGUUAUGUGAUAUCAUGGGGACAUCAAUUUCAGAGUAUAAUCUGUGUCUGUGAAUAUGAUGAGGGGGAAGAAGAUAGGAUCUGAAGUUGUUGGAUUGAAAAAAUACUUUAUUCCCUGUGAGUUAGAGAAUGGUGACUAUUCAAAGGACGUUAAAAAGUAUUUGCCUUUACAGCUUUCAGGUUAUUUUCUAUAGCAUGUUCUGUCUAAAGAUCUCAAAGCCGUCUUUGAGGUCAGGAAAAAGAUCCCAUUUUUCAAGUAGAAAAACAGAGUUUCUUGCCCCAAAUCACUCAGCCAAUCUGUAAGAAGAGGUAAGAGCACGAACACCUCCUGAGCUUUACUUAACCGAUCAGUCCUCUUUCUCAAGUCCUCCUGCAAAGUAUCUCAACUGUGUUGUAAACUCUUUAAGGCAGGAGGGCUGACAACUGUGUUGCGCCUGCUCAGGGACUGGCACAGCAUAGUUGGUCCCUAGAUGUUUUUGUAAUAAACAUGCUUAAUU
This 1065-nucleotide long non-coding RNA is filed under the name Struthio camelus australis. Its description in RNAcentral is "lncRNA (ENSSCUG00000018951.1)". Lineage: Eukaryota; Metazoa; Chordata; Aves; Struthioniformes; Struthionidae. The record is from RNAcentral.